This 301-nucleotide ribosomal RNA is filed under the name uncultured bacterium. RNAcentral's name for it is "partial 16S ribosomal RNA". It matches the Rfam family "Bacterial small subunit ribosomal RNA", at positions 509 to 807 of the family's 1533-position model. The record is from RNAcentral.
CAGUCGCCGCGGGAAUACGUAGGGUGCGAGCGUUAAUCGGAAUUACUGGGCGUAAAGCGUGCGUAGGCGGUGAGUUAAGUCUGCUGUGAAAUCCCCGGGCUCAACCUGGGAAUGGCAGUGGAUACUGGCUCGCUAGAGUGUGUCAGAGGAUGGUGGAAUUCCCGGUGUAGCGGUGAAAUGCGUAGAGAUCGGGAGGAACAUCAGUGGCGAAGGCGGCCAUCUGGGACAACACUGACGCUGAGGCACGAAAGCGUGGGGAGCAAACAGGAUUAGAUACCCCAGUAGUCCCUGUCUCUUAUAC